Molecule: transfer RNA, 56 nt
Filed under: Loxodonta africana (African savanna elephant)
Lineage: Eukaryota; Metazoa; Chordata; Mammalia; Proboscidea; Elephantidae
Rfam family: tRNA
About the family: Transfer RNA (tRNA) molecules are approximately 80 nucleotides in length. Their secondary structure includes four short double-helical elements and three loops (D, anti-codon, and T loops).
Source: Rfam by way of RNAcentral
AGCUUAGUGGUUAAGCAGUCGGCUGCCAACUGAAAGGUUGGUGGUUUGAACCCACU